RNAcentral lists this unclassified non-coding RNA (228 nucleotides) under uncultured fungus. RNAcentral describes it as "sequence contains ITS1, 5.8S rRNA gene". The stretch from base 180 to 228 matches the Rfam family "5.8S ribosomal RNA", at positions 1 to 49 of the family's 154-position model. Lineage: Eukaryota; Fungi. The record is from RNAcentral.
UUUCCGUAGGUGAACCUGCGGAAGGAUCAUUCAUAAUAAGUGUUUUAUGGCACUUUUUAAAUCCAUAUCCACCUUGUGUGCAAUGUCAGUCGAUCUUCUUCAUGGAGAUCGACCAAACAUCAACCUUUAUUUUUUAACUCUUUGUCUGAAAAAUAUUAUGAAUAAACAAUUCAAAAUACAACUUUCAACAACGGAUCUCUUGGCUCUCGCAUCGAUGAAGAACGCAGC